RNAcentral lists this long non-coding RNA (2351 nucleotides) under Zea mays. RNAcentral describes it as "long non-coding RNA NONZMAT003921". The record is from RNAcentral. Lineage: Eukaryota; Viridiplantae; Streptophyta; Magnoliopsida; Poales; Poaceae.
GUCGUUCCAGCCCGGGAAACACGCCCGGUCGACCGGGGGUGGAAAAUAUCCCAGCCUGGACUGCACGCGAACGCGAAGGGCACGCGACUUCUCGUCGGUGUCGAUCUGCUCCGGCGACCGCUUGUCAUCGGUAUGUUUCUUCCUCCCUGGGCUUUCCCUUCCCACCAUCUCAGCGGACGGCUUGAAGUUUCCUCUAAGUGGUGGGCGCUCGCUACCCGCAGCUCCCAUGGUCUGCUUGAAGUUUCCUCGCCCUAAACCCUAACCCUAAAUGUGGCUCCCAUGUCUGCUUGAUCUCCUUUUAGCUGCUGUAGUGAUGGCGCCAUGGCCAUGGUCUGCUUAGUUUCCUCGCCCUAUCCAACACGAAAGCUGCCGCCGAAGCACGGUCGGUCACGUCGUUCCUGCUGACAUGGUCUUCUUGAGUUUGGGGACAAAGAAACAAGAAGAAUUAGACUAGAAGGUUCAGACUUUAGCCUCUCCUACACCGGUGGUCAUGGAAACAGAUGGUUUGACUACCUGACAGUUAGCUGCCCUAGCGUUCUGAAAGAACUGUUCUCCAAAUUUGUUCCCAGUUGAACUGAAAAGAGGCGGCUUGUAACAGCAAAUCUUCCCAAAGUACUAACUAUAUUUAGUUUUAAUAUAGUCAAGCCAAGAGGAUGCAUGAUACCCCAGCCGUUGUAUCCUUAAUAUAUGUAGGGCUAUUUUGACGGCUAGCUGCGAAGAAGCUUGUAUCAGUGAGUUUAGUUGUGUGCACUGAACUGAAACUGCUAAUAGAUUGCUUGCUGCAUGUCCCAUAAAGUUCUAGCGAGCAUUGCAUGGAUAUAGAAUAAUCUGUGGGGCUAGAAUGUGUGUGUGUUUUGGCCUUUGAGGGGCGAGCAAGUAGGAUUGGGCACUUUUUUUUUGUUUUUAAUAUUCAGUUUUGGUUUCCAAUAUUUGUCUGUAUCGGUACUCAGUUGCAGUUUCAGUUUUAGAUGGAAACCGAACCAAACACUGGUUCAAACCCAAACACGAAGCAUUAGAUAAGAAUGCGGCAAUUAGCAACUGAAAAGGACAUAUAAUCAGUUGAUUUGUCGUGCUUUGCCAGUGUAAAAACUGUUUGGUGUUUAGUUCAGAGUACAUAUUUUUUACUUGUAAUUGUCUAGACGUAUUUCUAACAAAAACCUAUUAUAUUUCUAGAUUAUCCCUACAUCGGUUUGACUUGGAGAAGACGAGCUUCCACCAUCUUGGGACCCUAUACCCUCUCCUUUAGGUACUUGUUAAAUCCUAAAUGUUCUUAUUACAUCAUUUUCUGCUUCUGUUGGUGUUUAUUUCUUUUUCGUUAGCAAUGGAUGUGGCACUAAGCCUCUUAGAAAGAGGAUGAUGAUGAGGAUGAUGAUGAAUUCCAUGACCUGCUCUUAAUUGGUGUGUCCAGUUGCUACUUGGGUUCUUAAAUGACCUGCUCUUGUCAUUAGCUGUAAACUGUGAUUGGUCAAAACUACUAGUUAUAUGCACAGAAUACUCCGGAGAGCAUAUAUAUUUGUUACUCAUUGAUCAUCUGCUCGUCUUGCUUUGAAGAAGAGCAUAUAUAUUGUUGCUACAGUAGGUUCUAGCUUUGACUUGUAGGUGUCAACUGUGAACUGUCAUUAGGAAGUAUGCCUCAACUCUAGUGCUUAUAUUUGAAACAGAAAAUAUAAAGUAUUAUAUUUGUAGAUGUAUUUUUUUAACAAAAACCUAUUAUAUUUCUAGAUUAUUCCUGCACCGGUUCGAGUUGGAGAAGACGAACUUCCACCGUCUUGGGAUCCAAUAUCCUCUCCUUUAGGCACAUGUUAUAUCCUAAAUGUUUUUAUUACAUCCUUUUUCGCUUAAGUUGGUGUUUAUUUUCUAAAUGAAUUUCUUUUUAGUUAGCAAUGGAUGUGGCAUUAAGUGAUUACCUUAGGAAGAGGAGAGAUGAGGAUGAUGAUGAUAUGAUGAUGUUUUUUUACUUAUGCUACAUAUGUUAAAUAUGAGGAACCUGUUGCAAAUUCGUUCCUUGUAACUUGCUUUGGCUCUUAUUUUUUAGUUUGAUCAUGACCAUGCCAAUGAAAAAAAUCACUUCCAUUAAAACAUGCUUUUUGUUCUUUAAGUGUGCAAAGUUACUCCAUUUAUGCCUUGUCUUCGUGGUCUAACUUGCUCUUAUAUUUGGUGUUUAUGACAGAGAGCUGCACCUGAAGAAACCAAUGAACAUUAGGUAUUACAAAUAAGGGCUGUAUUGUAUUAAUGUGGUUCUUGUAAACUAAUUUUUCCUUUGAAUUUUGUAAUUGAAUCAUCCACAGGUGUGCGACUUGCUUUUGUUUAUGUGGAUCUAUUAAUUAUGUUCAAACAGUUGCUUCAUAAUU